CAGCAGCCACGGUAAUACGUAGGUGGCAAGCGUUGUCCGGAAUUAUUGGGCGUAAAGGGCUCGCAGGCGGUUUCUUAAGUCUGAUGUGAAAGCCCCCGGCUCAACCGGGGAGGGUCAUUGGAAACUGGGAAACUUGAGUGCAGAAGAGGAGAGUGGAAUUCCACGUGUAGCGGUGAAAUGCGUAGAGAUGUGGAGGAACACCAGUGGCGAAGGCGACUCUCUGGUCUGUAACUGACGCUGAGGAGCGAAAGCGUGGGGAGCGAACAGGAUUAGAGACCCGAGUAGUCCCUGUCUCUUAUAC
This 301-nucleotide ribosomal RNA is filed under the name uncultured bacterium. RNAcentral describes it as "partial 16S ribosomal RNA". It matches the Rfam family "Bacterial small subunit ribosomal RNA", at positions 509 to 807 of the family's 1533-position model. The record is from RNAcentral.